This 601-nucleotide ribosomal RNA is filed under the name uncultured archaeon. Its description in RNAcentral is "bacterial SSU rRNA". It matches the Rfam family "Archaeal small subunit ribosomal RNA", at positions 319 to 923 of the family's 1478-position model. The record is from RNAcentral.
UCCCUAUGGGGUGCAGCAGUCGCGAAAACUCCGCAAUGCACGAAAGUGUGACGGGGCUACCCCGAGUGCCACCCGCUGAGGGUGGCUUUUCUUUGGUAUAAUUAGCCAUUGGAAUAAGGAGAGGGCAAGACUGGUGUCAGCCGCCGCGGUAAUACCAGCCCUCCGAGUGGUAGGGAUGAUUAUUGGGCUUAAAGCGUCCGUAGCCGGCUUAGCAAGUCUCCUGUUAAACUCAGCGACCUAAUCGUUGACCCGCGGGAGAUACUACUAGGCUAGGAGGCGGGAGAGGUCGACGGUACUUCUGGGGUAGGGGUGAAAUCCUAUAAUCCCGGGAGGACCACCAGUGGCGAAGGCUGUCGACUAGAACGCGCUCGACGGUGAGGGACGAAAGCUGGGGGAGCGAACCGGAUUAGAUACCCGGGUAGUCCCAGCCGUAAACGAUGCGGGCUAGGUGUUGGGAUGGCUACGUGCCAUUUCAGUGCCGCAGGGAAGCCAUUAAGCCCGCCGCCUGGGGAGUACGGCCGCAAGGCUGAAACUUAAAGGAAUUGGCGGGGGAGCACCACAAGGCGUGAAGCUUGCGGUUCAAUUGGAUUCAACGCCGGAA